CCAAGCAGCCGCGGUAAUUCCAGCUCCAAUAGCGUAUACUAAAGUUGUUGCGGUUAAAAAGCUCGUAGUUGGAUCUUGGAAUGUGUUCAAGCGGGUCAGCUUCUGGCUGUGCGCUGCUUGACGUGUUCUUCUAUUUGGUUUUGGUGCGGUGCGCUUAACUGCGUGUCGCUCCCGGCCGAAACGUUUACCUUGAAAAAAUUAGAGUGUUCAAAGCAGACCUGUUUGAGUCUGAAUAUUCGUGCAUGGAAUAAUGAAAUAUGAAUUCGGUUCUAUUUUGUUGGUUUUCGGAACUCGAGUUAAUGAUCAAGAGGGACAGACGGGGGCAUUCGUACUCUGCCGUUAGAGGUGAAAUUCUUGGAUCGGCGGAAGACGCGCAACUGCGAAAGCAUUUGCCAAGAAUGUUUUCUUUAAUCAAGAACGAUAGUCGGAGGUUCGAAGACGAUCAGAUACCGUCCUAGUUUCGACUGUAAACUAUGCCAGCUAACGAUCAGACAGAGUUCUCUACGACUUGUCUGGCAGUUUCCGGGAAACCAAAGCGUUUGGGUUCCGGGGGAAGUAUGGUUGCAAAGCUGAAACUUAAAGGAAUUGACGGAAGGGCACCACCAGGAGUGGAGCCUGCGGCUUAAUUUGACUCAACACGGGGAAACUCACCCGGCCCGGACACAGUGAGGAUUGACAGAUUGAGAGUUCUUUCUUGAUUCUGUGGGUGGUGGUGCAUGGCCGUUCUUAGUUGGUGGAGCGAUUUGUCUGGUUAAUUCCGAUAACGAACGAGACUCUGGCAUGUUAAAUAGUCGCGGAAGUGCGUAUGCACUUGCCGAAUUGACUUCUUAGAGGGACUAGUGAUUUUAAUUCACACGAGAUUGAGCAAUAACAGGUCUGUGAUGCCCAAGGGCGAAUCGUUAACUGCAAGAC
RNAcentral lists this ribosomal RNA (912 nucleotides) under uncultured eukaryote. Its description in RNAcentral is "SSU rRNA". It matches the Rfam family "Eukaryotic small subunit ribosomal RNA", at positions 566 to 1492 of the family's 1831-position model. The record is from RNAcentral.